Molecule: ribosomal RNA, 382 nt
Filed under: uncultured bacterium
Lineage: Bacteria
Description: bacterial SSU rRNA
Rfam family: Bacterial small subunit ribosomal RNA
Source: RNAcentral
CGGUAAUACGAAGGGUGCAAGCGUUACUCGGAAUUACUGGGCGUAAAGCGUGCGUAGGCGGUUUGUUAAGUCUGAUGUGAAAGCCCUGGGCUCAACCUGGGAAUGGCAUUGGAUACUGGCAAUCUAGAAUGUGGUAGAGGGUGGCGGAAUUCCCGGUGUAGCAGUGAAAUGCGUAGAUAUCGGGAGGAACAUCCGUGGCGAAGGCGGCCACCUGGACCAACAUUGACGCUGAGGCACGAAAGCGUGGGGAGCAAACAGGAUUAGAUACCCUGGUAGUCCACGCCCUAAACGAUGCGAACUGGAUGUUGGGCUCAAUUGAGAGCUCAGUAUCGAAGCUAACGCGUUAAGUUCGCCGCCUGGGAAGCACGGUCGCAAGACUGAA